RNAcentral lists this ribosomal RNA (201 nucleotides) under uncultured bacterium. Its description in RNAcentral is "partial 16S ribosomal RNA". It matches the Rfam family "Bacterial small subunit ribosomal RNA", at positions 328 to 539 of the family's 1533-position model. The record is from RNAcentral.
ACGCUCGACACCUACGGGAGGUAGCAGUGGGGAAUAUUGGGCAAUGGGCGCAAGCCUGACCCAGCAACGCCGCGUGAAGGAAGAAGGCCCUCGGGUUGUAAACUUCUUUUGACAGGGACGAAGAAAAUGACGGUACCUGUCGAAUAAGCCACGGCUAACUACGUGCCUGCAGCCGCGGUAAUCUGAGCGGGCUGGCAAGGC